This 28-nucleotide non-coding RNA is filed under the name Homo sapiens (human). Lineage: Eukaryota; Metazoa; Chordata; Mammalia; Primates; Hominidae. The record is from RNAcentral.
UGCCUAUGAACACACACAGAUGAAACUU